AAAUUAUUUGCUGCGGCUCUACCAUUAUUACUUUCAUCAGGAUUUAAUGCAUCCACCCUGAAAUUCACGAACGUAAUCUGUGAGUCUCUCAAUAAAUCAUUGGUUCAAUUUGAGGAGUGCCGUUUACGAGUUUUCAGACGAAAUAUGAUCACAUUCAAUUUAAAUGCAACUAUUUUGCAUCCAGUAAAUAUUGUCUACAUUAAUACACAAGUCUUGAAGAAAGCAAAUGGAUACAAGCCAUUUCUAAUGAACAUAACCUUUGAUUGGUGUGAAUAUCAGCGAAAGCGAAAUAUUCCCUACAUAAAUUUAUUAUAUACAUUAACAAAAGAUUAUACAAACCUUUUUCAAAAGUGUCCCUUCUACGGUACGAUUUUCAUGAAGAACCUUCAUGUAGCACCAUCGAUGAUUAAACUUCCAUUGCCUAGUGGAGAAUAUCUAUUAGAAACUAACUGGAUGCCGUUUAUGAGAACACAAUUUAUAACUAAAUUCUACUUUGCAUUUGAGGAGGAUUAAAGCAGAAAACUUUAAAACCUCGAAAAUGAAAUAUUAAUAAAACAAAUAUAAUAUUUUUUGUCAUUUAGUUAGAGAAGAUUGUUUCAUAAAUAGUUUUCUUAUUAAUGAACCGUAUAAUAUGUUUAUAAUUUAUGCCCCAUAGACUCUAAAUGGAUUAUUAUGGAACCAUUGUUAUUUAUAAAAUGUAAUAGCAACUCA
Molecule: long non-coding RNA, 711 nt
Organism: Drosophila nasuta
Lineage: Eukaryota; Metazoa; Arthropoda; Insecta; Diptera; Drosophilidae
Exons: 3
Source: RefSeq, a predicted model, not a curated record